This 849-nucleotide ribosomal RNA is filed under the name uncultured organism. RNAcentral's name for it is "SSU rRNA". It matches the Rfam family "Bacterial small subunit ribosomal RNA", at positions 34 to 864 of the family's 1533-position model. The record is from RNAcentral.
CGCUGGCGGCGUGCCUAAUACAUGCAAGUCGAGCGAACAGACGAGGAGCUUGCUCCUCUGACGUUAGCGGCGGACGGGUGAGUAACACGUGGAUAACCUACCUAUAAGACUGGGAUAACUUCGGGAAACCGGAGCUAAUACCGGAUAAUAUAUUGAACCGCAUGGUUCAAUAGUGAAAGACGGUUUUGCUGUCACUUAUAGAUGGAUCCGCGCCGCAUUAGCUAGUUGGUAAGGUAACGGCUUACCAAGGCAACGAUGCGUAGCCGACCUGAGAGGGUGAUCGGCCACACUGGAACUGAGACACGGUCCAGACUCCUACGGGAGGCAGCAGUAGGGAAUCUUCCGCAAUGGGCGAAAGCCUGACGGAGCAACGCCGCGUGAGUGAUGAAGGUCUUCGGAUCGUAAAACUCUGUUAUUAGGGAAGAACAAAUGUGUAAGUAACUAUGCACGUCUUGACGGUACCUAAUCAGAAAGCCACGGCUAACUACGUGCCAGCAGCCGCGGUAAUACGUAGGUGGCAAGCGUUAUCCGGAAUUAUUGGGCGUAAAGCGCGCGUAGGCGGUUUUUUAAGUCUGAUGUGAAAGCCCACGGCUCAACCGUGGAGGGUCAUUGGAAACUGGAAAACUUGAGUGCAGAAGAGGAAAGUGGAAUUCCAUGUGUAGCGGUGAAAUGCGCAGAGAUAUGGAGGAACACCAGUGGCGAAGGCGACUUUCUGGUCUGUAACUGACGCUGAUGUGCGAAAGCGUGGGGAUCAAACAGGAUUAGAUACCCUGGUAGUCCACGCCGUAAACGAUGAGUGCUAAGUGUUAGGGGGUUUCCGCCCCUUAGUGCUGCAGCUAACGCAUUAAG